This 79-nucleotide transfer RNA is filed under the name Parcubacteria group bacterium CG11_big_fil_rev_8_21_14_0_20_39_14. RNAcentral's name for it is "tRNA-Asp". It matches the Rfam family "tRNA". From Rfam's summary of the family: Transfer RNA (tRNA) molecules are approximately 80 nucleotides in length. Their secondary structure includes four short double-helical elements and three loops (D, anti-codon, and T loops). The record is from RNAcentral.
GGGCCCGUGGUGUAGCCUGGUUCAACACGUCUGCUUGUCGAGCAGAAGAUCGUCGGUUCAAAUCCGAUCGGGCCCGCCC